RNAcentral lists this ribosomal RNA (527 nucleotides) under Anastrepha obliqua. RNAcentral's name for it is "partial small subunit ribosomal RNA". The stretch from base 395 to 527 matches the Rfam family "Bacterial large subunit ribosomal RNA", at positions 2473 to 2605 of the family's 2925-position model. The record is from RNAcentral. Lineage: Eukaryota; Metazoa; Arthropoda; Insecta; Diptera; Tephritidae.
AAACAUGUCUUUUUGAAUUAAAUUUAAAGUCUGACCUGCCCACUGAAUAAUUUUAAAUGGCCGCAGUAUUUUGACUGUGCAAAGGUAGCAUAAUCAUUAGUCUUUUAAUUGGAGGCUGGUAUGAACGGUUGGACGAAGUAUAAGCUGUUUCAUAUAAAUUUAUAAUAGAACUUUAUAUUUUAGUUAAAAAGCUAAAAUUUUAUUAAAAGACGAGAAGACCCUAUAAAUCUUUAUAUUUAAUAUUAACUAAAUUUUUUUGAUUUAUUUUAUUUUUUUAAUAUUAAUUAUUUUGUUGGGGUGAUAUUAAAAUUUAAUGAACUUUUAAUUUUUUAAAAUCAUUAAUUUAUGAAUUAUUGAUCCAUUAAUAUUGAUUAUAAGAUUAAGUUACUUUAGGGAUAACAGCGUAAUUUUUUUUGAGAGUUCAUAUCGACAAAAAAGUUUGCGACCUCGAUGUUGGAUUAAGGUAUAAUUUUGGGUGUAGCCGUUCAAAAAUUAAGUCUGUUCGACUUUUAAAUCCUUACAUGAUC